CCCCGGGACACUGUCUGCAUGCAGUGGCCUCUCUGCCCACAGCCACACCUUCCAGCUGUGGAGGGCCCUGGGGGCUGGGCAGCCCACGAGCCACCUGGUGCUGACCACACUGCUGGCCUGUCUGCAGGAGCGACCCCUGCCCACCGGUGCCAGCGACAGCAGCCCCUGCCCCAAGGAGAAGACCUACCUGCGUUUGCUGGCUGCCAUGAACAUGCUGCACGAGCUGCAGUUUGCCCGGGAGUUCAAGCAGGCCGUGCAGGAGGGCUACCCCAAGCUCUUCCUGGCCCUCCUCACCCAGAUGCACUAUGUCUUGGAGCUGAACCUGCCCAGCGAGCCCUAGCCCAAGCAGCAGGCCCAGGAGGCGGCCGUGCCCAGCCCCCAAAGCUGCAGCACGUCACUGGAGGCACUGAAGAGCCUGCUGUCCACCACGGGGCACUGGCAUGACUUUGCCCACCUGGAGCUGCAGGGAUCCUGGGAGCUCUUCACCACCAUCCACACCUACCCGAAGGGCGUGGGCCUCCUUGCCAGGGCCAUGGUGCAGAACCACUGCAGGCAGAUCCCAGCGGUGCUGCGUCAGCUGCUGCCCAGCCUGCAGAGCCCACAGGAGCGUGAGAGGAAGGUGGCCAUCCUCAUCCUCACCAAGUUCCUCUACAGCCCUGUCCUGCUGGAGGUGCUUCCCAAACAAGCUGCCUUGACCGUGCUGGCACAAGGCCUCCACGACCCCAGCCCUGAGGUCCGCGUGUUGAGUCUGCAGGGCCUAAGCAACAUCCUCUUCCACCCAGAUAAGGGAAGCCUGCUCCAGGGACAGCUGCGGCCCUUGCUCGACGGCUUCUUCCAGAGCAGCGACCAGGUGAUCGUGUGCAUCAUGGGCACCGUGUCAGACACGCUGCACCGCCUGGGCGCGCAGGGCACAGGGAGUCAGAGCCUCGGCGUUGCCAUCAGCACACGCUCCUUCUUUAAUGACGAGCGGGACGGGAUUCGGGCGGCAGCCAUGGCACUGUUCGGGGACCUGGUGGCGGCCAUGGCAGACAGGGAGCUGAGCGGCCUGCGGACCCAGGUGCACCAGAGCAUGGUGCCCCUGCUCCUACACCUGAAGGACCAAUGCCCAGCUGUCGCCACGCAGGCCAAGUUCACCUUCUACCGCUGUGCUGUGCUGCUCCGCUGGCGGCUACUGCACACCCUCUUCUGCACGCUGGCCUGGGAGAGGGGCCUCAGCGCCCGCCACUUCCUCUGGACCUGCCUGAUGACCCGCAGCCAGGAGGAAUUCAGCAUCCACUUGUCACAGGCCCUCAGCUACCUGCACAGCCACUCCUGCCACAUCAAGACCUGGGUGACACUCUUCAUAGGCCACACCAUCUGCUACCACCCCCAGGCCGUGUUCCAGAUGCUGAAUGCUGUGGACACCAACCUGCUGUUCCGCACUUUUGAACAUCUCAGAAGUGACCCUGAGCCCAGCAUCCGGGAAUUCGCCACCAGCCAGCUCUCCUUCCUCCAGAAGGUGUCGGCCAGACCCAAGCAGUGACCUCCAGCCAUCCUCCCCCACCCACCGCCUUCCCCUCCCGUGUCCACCUGGUCAGCCCUGCCCCAUCCGCCCCCCACAGAGCUUGGUUGCAUAACGUUUUUCCAUUUGAAAGAAAGAUCUAGAUUCAACAAAA
Homo sapiens (human) is the source of this 1655-nucleotide RNA transcript. It is a transcript of the gene named maestro heat like repeat family member 5 (gene/pseudogene), with no coding region annotated. The record is from RefSeq and is marked validated. NCBI's taxonomy places the organism in Eukaryota, Metazoa, Chordata, Mammalia, Primates, Hominidae.